UGACCCCACCUGGAGAAUAUGCCCCGGCAAACUUCGUGCCAGCACCCCCGGUAAUACAAAGGGGGCUAACGUUGUUCGGAAUUACUGGGCGUAAAGCGCACGUACGCGGGUCGUUAAGUCAGGGGUGAAAUCCCGGACCUCAACUCCGGAACUGCCUUUGA
Molecule: ribosomal RNA, 161 nt
Filed under: uncultured bacterium
Lineage: Bacteria
Description: partial 16S ribosomal RNA
Rfam family: Bacterial small subunit ribosomal RNA
Source: RNAcentral